Molecule: ribosomal RNA, 258 nt
Filed under: Arthropoda sp. MM00124
Lineage: Eukaryota; Metazoa; Arthropoda
Description: partial small subunit ribosomal RNA
Rfam family: Eukaryotic small subunit ribosomal RNA
Source: RNAcentral
CCGGCACUGUUACUUUGAAAAAAUUAGAGUGCUCAAAGCAGGCUCUUAAUGCCUGUAUACAUAUUCAUGGAAUUGGAGAAUACGUCCCUGGCUCGAUUUGGUUGGUUUUUAGAGUCGAAGGGAAAUGAUUAAUAGGGACUGACGGAGGCAUUCGUAUUCCGACGCGAGGGGUGAAAUCCUGUGACCGUCGGACGACGAACUACUGCGAAAGCAUUUGCCGAGAAUGUUUUCAUUAGUCAAGAACGAAAGUUAGAGGUU